UACAGAGGUCUCAAGCGUUGUUCGGAUUCAUUGGGCGUAAAGGGUGCGUAGGCGGCGCGGUAAGUCGGAUGUGAAAUCUCGGAGCUUAACUUCGAAACUGCAUUCGAUACUGCCGUGCUUGAGGACUGGAGAGGAGACUGGAAUUUACGGUGUAGCGGUGAAAUGCGUAGAUAUCGUAAGGAAGACCAGUGGCGAAGGCGGGUCUCUGGACCAGCACCGACGUUCAGGCACGAAAGCGUGGGGAGCAAACAGG
RNAcentral lists this ribosomal RNA (253 nucleotides) under uncultured bacterium. RNAcentral's name for it is "partial 16S ribosomal RNA". It matches the Rfam family "Bacterial small subunit ribosomal RNA", at positions 524 to 776 of the family's 1533-position model. The record is from RNAcentral.